Molecule: non-coding RNA, 91 nt
Organism: Triplophysa rosa
Lineage: Eukaryota; Metazoa; Chordata; Actinopteri; Cypriniformes; Nemacheilidae
Source: the annotation of a RefSeq genome assembly
GGAAAGGUGGCCGAGUGGUUGAAGGCGCUCCCCUGCUAAGGGAGUAGGUGUGUUUAAAGCACCUCGGUGGGUUCGAAUCCCCUCCUUUCCA